CUGUANCUCAGUCGGGAGAGCACCUGGUUUUGUAACCAGGGAGGUCACCGGGUUCGAACCCGGUCCAGCUCC
This 72-nucleotide transfer RNA is filed under the name uncultured Gammaproteobacteria bacterium. RNAcentral describes it as "tRNA-Ala". Lineage: Bacteria; Pseudomonadati; Pseudomonadota; Gammaproteobacteria. The record is from RNAcentral.